This 286-nucleotide unclassified non-coding RNA is filed under the name Basidiomycota sp. RNAcentral's name for it is "partial contains small subunit ribosomal RNA, internal transcribed spacer 1, and 5.8S ribosomal RNA". The stretch from base 1 to 47 matches the Rfam family "Eukaryotic small subunit ribosomal RNA", at positions 1785 to 1831 of the family's 1831-position model. The record is from RNAcentral. Lineage: Eukaryota; Fungi; Basidiomycota.
AAAGUCGUAACAAGGUUUCCGUAGGUGAACCUGCGGAAGGAUCAUCAGUGAUUUGCCCUUUUAUUAGGGCGCUUAACUACAACGGCCGACAUAUUGAAUAAUAGGCGAGCGGGUUUGGCUCUGUUUGAGAUUGAGACCAUUUUACUUUUACUAUUAAAAAGUAUUUUGGAUCUUGGUCGCUACUGGCCCCGCGCCCUACUAUAAACAACAACCCUUUUAUAACCAACCAGUCAAAACAAGAAAAUCCAAAAAAAUACAACUUUCAACAAUGGAUCUCUUGGCUCUU